RNAcentral lists this ribosomal RNA (1372 nucleotides) under uncultured bacterium. RNAcentral's name for it is "bacterial SSU rRNA". It matches the Rfam family "Bacterial small subunit ribosomal RNA", at positions 28 to 1381 of the family's 1533-position model. The record is from RNAcentral.
GAUGAACGCUGGCGGCGUGCCUAAUACAUGCAAGUCGAGCGAACGGACGAGAAGCUUGCUUCUCUGAUGUUAGCGGCGGACGGGUGAGUAACACGUGGAUAACCUACCUAUAAGACUGGGAUAACUUCGGGAAACCGGAGCUAAUACCGGAUAAUAUUUUGAACCGCAUGGUUCAAAAGUGAAAGACGGUCUUGCUGUCACUUAUAGAUGGAUCCGCGCUGCAUUAGCUAGUUGGUAAGGUAACGGCUUACCAAGGCAACGAUGCAUAGCCGACCUGAGAGGGUGAUCGGCCACACUGGAACUGAGACACGGUCCAGACUCCUACGGGAGGCAGCAGUAGGGAAUCUUCCGCAAUGGGCGAAAGCCUGACGGAGCAACGCCGCGUGAGUGAUGAAGGUCUUCGGAUCGUAAAACUCUGUUAUUAGGGAAGAACAUAUGUGUAAGUAACUGUGCACAUCUUGACGGUACCUAAUCAGAAAGCCACGGCUAACUACGUGCCAGCAGCCGCGGUAAUACGUAGGUGGCAAGCGUUAUCCGGAAUUAUUGGGCGUAAAGCGCGCGUAGGCGGUUUUUUAAGUCUGAUGUGAAAGCCCACGGCUCAACCGUGGAGGGUCAUUGGAAACUGGAAAACUUGAGUGCAGAAGAGGAAAGUGGAAUUCCAUGUGUAGCGGUGAAAUGCGCAGAGAUAUGGAGGAACACCAGUGGCGAAGGCGACUUUCUGGUCUGUAACUGACGCUGAUGUGCGAAUGCGUGGGGAUCAAACAGGAUUAGAUACCCUGGUAGUCCACGCCGUAAACGAUGAGUGCUAAGUGUUAGGGGGUUUCCGCCCCUUAGUGCUGCAGCUAACGCAUUAAGCACUCCGCCUGGGGAGUACGACCGCAAGGUUGAAACUCAAAGGAAUUGACGGGGACCCGCACAAGCGGUGGAGCAUGUGGUUUAAUUCGAAGCAACGCGAAGAACCUUACCAAAUCUUGACAUCCUUUGACAACUCUAGAGAUAGAGCUUUCCCCUUCGGGGGACAAAGUGACAGGUGGUGCAUGGUUGUCGUCAGCUCGUGUCGUGAGAUGUUGGGUUAAGUCCCGCAACGAGCGCAGCCCUUAAGCUUAGUUGCCAUCAUUAAGUUGGGCACUCUAAGUUGACUGCCGGUGACAAACCGGAGGAAGGUGGGGAUGACGUCAAAUCAUCAUGCCCCUUAUGAUUUGGGCUACACACGUGCUACAAUGGACAAUACAAAGGGCAGCGAAACCGCGAGGUCAAGCAAAUCCCAUAAAGUUGUUCUCAGUUCGGAUUGUAGUCUGCAACUCGACUACAUGAAGCUGGAAUCGCUAGUAAUCGUAGAUCAGCAUGCUACGGUGAAUACGUUCCCGGGUCU